RNAcentral lists this ribosomal RNA (465 nucleotides) under uncultured Klebsiella sp. RNAcentral's name for it is "bacterial SSU rRNA". It matches the Rfam family "Bacterial small subunit ribosomal RNA", at positions 338 to 795 of the family's 1533-position model. The record is from RNAcentral. Lineage: Bacteria; Pseudomonadati; Pseudomonadota; Gammaproteobacteria; Enterobacterales; Enterobacteriaceae.
CCUACGGGUGGCUGCAGUGGGGAAUAUUGCACAAUGGGCGCAAGCCUGAUGCAGCCAUGCCGCGUGUGUGAAGAAGGCCUUCGGGUUGUAAAGCACUUUCAGCGGGGAGGAAGGCGUUAAGGUUAAUAACCUUGGCGAUUGACGUUACCCGCAGAAGAGGCACCAGCUAACUCCGUGCCAGCAGCCGCGGUAAUACGGAGGGUGCAAGCGUUAAUCGGAAUUACUGGGCGUAAAGCGCACGCAGGCGGUCUGUCAAGUCGGAUGUGAAAUCCCCGGGCUCAACCUGGGAACUGCAUUCGAAACUGGCAGGCUAGAGUCUUGUAGAGGGGGGUAGAAUUCCAGGUGUAGCGGUGAAAUGCGUAGAGAUCUGGAGGAAUACCGGUGGCGAAGGCGGCCCCCUGGACAAAGACUGACGCUCAGGUGCGAAAGCGUGGGGAGCAAACAGGAUUAGAUACCCCAGUAGUC